GACGAACGCUGGCGGCGUGCUUAACACAUGCAAGUCGAACGAAGAGCGAUGGAAGCUUGCUUCUAUCAAUCUUAGUGGCGAACGGGUGAGUAACGCGUAAUCAACCUGCCCUUCAGAGGGGGACAACAGUUGGAAACGACUGCUAAUACCGCAUACGAUCUAAUCUCGGCAUCGAGGAUAGAUGAAAGGUGGCCUCUACAUGUAAGCUAUCACUGAAGGAGGGGAUUGCGUCUGAUUAGCUAGUUGGAGGGGUAACGGCCCACCAAGGCGAUGAUCAGUAGCCGGUCUGAGAGGAUGAACGGCCACAUUGGGACUGAGACACGGCCCAGACUCCUACGGGAGGCAGCAGUGGGGAAUCUUCCGCAAGAGACGAAAGUCUGACGGAGCAACGCCGCGUGAGUGAUGACGGCCUUCGGGUUGUAAAGCUCUGUUAAUCGGGACGAAAGGCCUUCUUGCGAACAGUUAGAAGGAUUGACGGUACCGGAAUAGAAAGCCACGGCUAACUACGUG
RNAcentral lists this ribosomal RNA (510 nucleotides) under uncultured bacterium. RNAcentral describes it as "partial 16S ribosomal RNA". It matches the Rfam family "Bacterial small subunit ribosomal RNA", at positions 28 to 507 of the family's 1533-position model. The record is from RNAcentral.